RNAcentral lists this long non-coding RNA (267 nucleotides) under Solanum tuberosum (potato). RNAcentral describes it as "long non-coding RNA (STUB_LNC007581)". The record is from RNAcentral. Lineage: Eukaryota; Viridiplantae; Streptophyta; Magnoliopsida; Solanales; Solanaceae.
CUCCAAAUACACAAAUAACGUCGUAUUAAUUAUCUAUAGCCGUAAACAAUUAUAAUUACAGUACGUUAUAAGAAUAAAUCAAUUAAUGAAAAUUCUAAAAUCAAGUCUUCCAAAGAAACCAACUUCCUCCUUUUCAUAGCUCAUGAAUUUCUGCUAGCUGCACUCCAUAUAUCAUCCAAUGAAUGUUGAAUGUUACAUGUAAAUUGAUAUGACAAUUAUUCAAUUCCAACAUGUAUCAACUCUACAUGUUUCUCCAUCUCCCAUUUU